This 72-nucleotide transfer RNA is filed under the name Marmota monax (woodchuck). It matches the Rfam family "tRNA". From Rfam's summary of the family: Transfer RNA (tRNA) molecules are approximately 80 nucleotides in length. Their secondary structure includes four short double-helical elements and three loops (D, anti-codon, and T loops). Lineage: Eukaryota; Metazoa; Chordata; Mammalia; Rodentia; Sciuridae. The record is from Rfam by way of RNAcentral.
CAGGAUGUAGCUUAGUGGUAGAGUGCUUGCUUAGCAUGCAUAAGGCCCUGGGUUCUAUCACCAGCAUCAUAA